This 448-nucleotide ribosomal RNA is filed under the name uncultured prokaryote. RNAcentral describes it as "bacterial SSU rRNA". It matches the Rfam family "Bacterial small subunit ribosomal RNA", at positions 355 to 796 of the family's 1533-position model. The record is from RNAcentral.
UGGGGAAUAUUGGACAAUGGGCGAAAGCCUGAUCCAGCAAUUCCGCGUGUGUGAAGAAGGCCUUAGGGUUGUAAAGCACUUUAAUUCGGGAAGAACAAGCUCGGGCUAAUAUCCCGAGCCCUGACGGUACCGAAAGAAUAAGCACCGGCAAACUCUGUGCCAGCAGCCGCGGUAAUACAGAGGGUGCGAGCGUUAAUCGGAUUUACUGGGCGUAAAGCGUGCGUAGGAGGCUUGUUAAGUCGGUUGUGAAAUCCCCGGGCUCAACCUGGGAACUGCAGUCGAUACUGGCAGGCUAGAGUUCGGUAGAGGGUGGCGGAAUUUCCGGUGUAGCGGUGAAAUGCGUAGAGAUCGGAAGGAACACCAAUGGCGAAGGCAGCCACCUGGGCCUGAACUGACUCUGAGGCACGAAAGCGUGGGGAGCAAACAGGAUUAGAUACCCCCGUAGUCC